AUUGAACGCUGGCGGCAGGCCUAACACAUGCAAGUCGAACGAGUGGCGGACGGGUGAGAAAAGUCUGGGAAACUGCGUGAAGGAGGGGGAUAACUACUGGAAACAGGACCUAAUAUCGCAUACCAUAGGAGGUGCCCAGAUGGGAUUAGAUAGUAGGUGGGGUAAAGGCUCACCUAGGCGACGAUCCCUCGCUGGUCUGAGAGGAUGACCAGCCACACGGGAACUGAGACACGGUCCAGACUCCUACGGGAGGCAGCAGUGGGGAAUUUUGGACAAUGGGGGAAACCCUGAUCCAGCCAUCCCGCGUGUAUGAUGAAGGCCUUCGGGUUGUAAAGUACUUUUGGCAGAGAAGCGGUAUCUGCAGAAUAAGCACCGGCUAACUACGUGCCAGCAGCCGCGGUAAUAC
RNAcentral lists this ribosomal RNA (406 nucleotides) under uncultured bacterium. Its description in RNAcentral is "partial 16S ribosomal RNA". It matches the Rfam family "Bacterial small subunit ribosomal RNA", at positions 30 to 526 of the family's 1533-position model. The record is from RNAcentral.